This is a ribosomal RNA of 558 nucleotides. The stretch from base 179 to 332 matches the Rfam family "5.8S ribosomal RNA".
UGGGGUGAACCUGCGGAGGGAUCAUUACCGAGUCUAAACAACUCAUCAACCCUGUGAACAUACCUAAAACGUUGCUUCGGCGGGAACAGACGGCCCCGUGAAACGGGCCGCCCCCGCCAGAGGACCCCCUAACUCUGUUGCUAUAUGUAUCUUCUGAGUAAACAAGCAAAUAAAUUAAAACUUUCAACAACGGAUCUCUUGGCUCUGGCAUCGAUGAAGAACGCAGCGAAAUGCGAUAAGUAAUGUGAAUUGCAGAAUUCAGUGAAUCAUCGAAUCUUUGAACGCACAUUGCGCCCGCCAGUAUUCUGGCGGGCAUGCCUGUUCGAGCGUCAUUACAACCCUCAGGCCCCCGGGCCUGGCGUUGGGGAUCGGCGAGGCGCCCCCCGCGGGCACGCGCCGUCCCCCAAAUACAGUGGCGGUCCCGCCGCAGCUUCCAUUGCGUAGUAGCUAACACCUCGCAACUGGAGAGCGGCGCGGCCAUGCCGUAAAACACCCAACUUCUGAAUGUUGACCUCGAAUCAGGUAGGAAUACCCGCUGAACUUAAGCAUAUCAAUAAG